Molecule: ribosomal RNA, 402 nt
Filed under: uncultured bacterium
Lineage: Bacteria
Description: bacterial SSU rRNA
Rfam family: Bacterial small subunit ribosomal RNA
Source: RNAcentral
UGGGGAAUAUUGCGCAAUGGGGGAAACCCUGACGCAGCGACGCCGUGUGAGGGAAGAAGGCCUUCGGGUCGUAAACCUCUGUCGGGAGGGAAGAACCGCCGGUUUCCGAACAGGGAGCCGGUCUGACGGUACCUCCGAAGGAAGCGCCGGCUAACUCCGUGCCAGCAGCCGCGGUAAUACGGAGGGCGCGAGCGUUAAUCGGAAUCACUGGGCGUAAAGCGCGCGUAGGCGGCUUGAUAAGUCGGGCGUGAAAGCCCUCGGCCCAACCGAGGAACUGCGUUCGAUACUGUUAGGCUUGAGUCCUGGAGAGGGUGGCGGAAUUCCGGGUGUAGGAGUGAAAUCCGUAGAUAUCCGGAGGAACACCGGUGGCGAAGGCGGCCACCUGGACAGGUACUGACGCUG